Molecule: long non-coding RNA, 990 nt
Organism: Pseudophryne corroboree (corroboree frog)
Lineage: Eukaryota; Metazoa; Chordata; Amphibia; Anura; Myobatrachidae
Exons: 3
Source: RefSeq, a predicted model, not a curated record
UGGAGGGAAGAUGGCCAAUCUCCAUGGCAACCGUAGAGCCUGUGUGCAGUCUUUGAUGUGGAAAAAAGGGAAGCUGAAGGAGGAAGUUUGACAGGAUAACUGGAUGCCUGACAGAGCCAAUCGAGCAGAAAAUAAAUGCAGUCUGGGAGACCUGUGCCUUUCUAGGUCUGCGUGGUAAUUCCCUGCAACUCACCUAGGAUGAACUAGCUUCUGUCAGAGAUCUUCAGAUCAACUUCCAGACGGACCAGACACACAUGGCAAGUAUAACACUUUAAUGACCAGCACCAAAUGGAUUAAGUAUACAUUAACAUUUCAUCAAUUACACAUUCCCCUUUAAGUCAUUAAUCCAUGCUAACCCCCUGUCAAUUAGGCCUAUACACAGUACCUGCAUGCAAUACAACAAAUCCUUUUUCUUGUCAAGACACCCUUAGGUGUUAGAGUGACCCGGGUACUCUUAAUAUGAUAGUGCACUAUAAGGGCCCAUAAACUUCCUAAAAAUAACAGCAGUUGAUACAGAAUGUCUGACACUAUGUUUUAGUAUCAACUAUCAGUUCUCCCUUCAGUUAAAGAGAAAGAUGUUUAGCUCAGUCUACUUAUGGUAGCGAUUACUUUCUCCUAUAAGGUUACUUAUAGUUCCUCAUUGGUAGAUAACAGAAAGUAUCUAUUUAGCUCAUAGAUAGUAACAUCAACAGUUGAUUACCAAGGAAUCUGUAUCCUUUCCUCAGUAAAAAUGUUACCGUAGUUGUCCAGUAUUAAACUAAACUCCUAAGAAGCUGGUAUGAUAAACCUUUGUUAUGCUGCGUCCUUGUGUCCAUUUGAAGUAGCUGAUGCUUUCUAAGGCCCUCAUUCCGAGUUGGUCGGUCGCAAGGCGAAUUUAGCAGAGUUGCUCACGCUAAGCCGCCGCCUACUGGGAGUGAAUCUUAGCUUCUUAAAAUUGCGACCGAUGUAUUCGCAAUAUUGCUAUUACAAACUACUUCGCAGUUUCAGAGU